CAGUGGCGGACGGGUGAGUAACACGUAAGAUUUGCCUUAGAGGGGACAACAACUGGAAACGGUUGCUAAUACCCCAUAUGCUUUCGAGUGAAAUGGAUUUUUCCGCCUAGAGAGAAGCUUGCGGCUGAUUAGCUUGUUGGUAAGGUAAUGGCUUACCAAGGCGACGAUCAGUAUCUGGUUUGAGAGGACGAUCAGACACACUGGAACUGAGACACGGUCCAG
Molecule: ribosomal RNA, 222 nt
Filed under: uncultured bacterium
Lineage: Bacteria
Description: partial 16S ribosomal RNA
Rfam family: Bacterial small subunit ribosomal RNA
Source: RNAcentral